Molecule: transfer RNA, 77 nt
Filed under: Acidimicrobiaceae bacterium
Lineage: Bacteria; Bacillati; Actinomycetota; Acidimicrobiia; Acidimicrobiales; Acidimicrobiaceae
Also listed under: 1 other name
Description: tRNA-Asn
Source: RNAcentral
UCCGGGGACCGUUGAGGACGCGGCGUGUAAGGCUGUUAACCGCAAGGUUCACGGUUCGAGUCCGUGCUCCGGAGCCA